GAACUGACCCCAAAUUCCACAGAAUCAGCCCCAAAAUCUCAAGAACUGACCCCAAAUUCCACAAAAUCAGCCCUAAAAUCUCAGGAAUUGACCCCAAACUCUCAGGAACUGAUCCCAAAUUCUGCAGAAUUGGCCCCAAGUUCUCAGGAACUGACCCCAGAUUCCACGGAUGCGGCCCCAAAUUCCACAGAUUCAACCCCAAAUUCCACGGCCUCGGCCCCAAACUCUCACAAACUGACCCCAAACUCUCAGGGCCGGACCCCAAAUUCUGCAGAAUCCACCCCAAAUUCUCCACCUGUGACCACAACGGAUCCGGGUUCAGGGUGGGACAGGGAUGGAGGGGGAUGGGUUGGGGUGGGGGUGGGGGCAGAGGGAGCCCCCCCCUCCCGCAUCGCCGCCCCCCCCACGAUGUCGGCGUCGACGGCGCUCCUUCAGAUUCUCCAGAAACGGUUAAAAAAUAAAUUACGGGUUUGUUUUUUUUUUUGUGUGUGUGUGUGGAUGUUUUCGUUUUUCCUCUCCCUUUCCCCUCCGCUUCGGGGCCGAGGCGCCGCUAGAACUCGUCGUGCCGCACCAGCGCCUCGCCGAAGUCGGUGGCCUGGCUGCCCACGAACAGGUCGUACUUGGCCACGAUCUCCUCCCGCGUCAGGCGACCGUCCUGGGAGACAGCG
This is a long non-coding RNA of Numida meleagris (helmeted guineafowl), 668 nucleotides long. NCBI's taxonomy places the organism in Eukaryota, Metazoa, Chordata, Aves, Galliformes, Numididae. The record is from Ensembl.